RNAcentral lists this ribosomal RNA (440 nucleotides) under uncultured bacterium. RNAcentral describes it as "bacterial SSU rRNA". It matches the Rfam family "Bacterial small subunit ribosomal RNA", at positions 954 to 1392 of the family's 1533-position model. The record is from RNAcentral.
GCUAAACGCGAAGAACCUUACCUGGCCUUGACAUGUCCGGAAUUCUGCAGAGAUGCGGAAGUGCCUUCGGGAAUCGGAACACAGGUGCUGCAUGGCUGUCGUCAGCUCGUGUCGUGAGAUGUUGGGUUAAGUCCCGCAACGAGCGCAACCCUUGUCCUUAGUUGCCAGCGAGUAAUGUCGGGAACUCUAAGGAGACUGCCGGUGACAAACCGGAGGAAGGUGGGGAUGACGUCAAGUCCUCAUGGCCCUUACGGCCAGGGCUACACACGUACUACAAUGGUCGGUACAGAGGGUUGCCAAACCGCAAGGUGGAGCCAAUCCCAGAAAGCCGAUCCCAGUCCGGAUCGGAGUCUGCAACUCGACUCCAUGAAGUUGGAAUCGCUAGUAAUCGCAGAUCAGCAUUGCUGCGGUGAAUACGUUCCCGGGUCUUGUACACACCG